This 901-nucleotide ribosomal RNA is filed under the name uncultured archaeon. Its description in RNAcentral is "bacterial SSU rRNA". It matches the Rfam family "Archaeal small subunit ribosomal RNA", at positions 1 to 885 of the family's 1478-position model. The record is from RNAcentral.
GCCCUUCGGUUGAUCCUGCCGGACCCGACUGCUAUUUGGGUGAGAAUAAGCCAUGCGAGUUGAAUGGGAUACCUAAAGUUCCCAUAGCAAACUGCUCAGUAACACAUGAUCAACUUACCCUAUAGAGAAAAAUAACCUCGGGAAACUGAGGAUAAUGUUUCAUAAUUGAAUUGGCUUGGAAAAGUUUUUCAAUGAAAAGGAUAAAAAAAAUGGUUUUUAUCUGCUAUAGGAUAGGAUCGUGUUCGAUUAUGGUUGUCGGUGAGAUAAUGGCUCACCAAGCCGAUAAUCGAUAGGGGCCGUGAGAGCGGGAGCCCCGAGAUGGGUACUGAGACAACGACCCAGGCCUUACGAGGCGCAGCAGGCGCGGAACCUCCGCAAUACACGAAAGUGUGACGGGGUUACCCAAAGUGUUCAAUAGAACUGUGGUAGGUGAGUAAUGUCCCCUACUAGAAAGGAGAGGGCAAGGCUGGUGCCAGCCGCCGCGGUAAAACCAGCUCUUCAAGUGGUCGGGAUAAUUAUUGGGCUUAAAGUGUCCGUAGCCGGUUUAGUAAGUUCCUGGUAAAAUCGGGUAGCUUAACUAUCUGCAUGCUAGGAAUACUGCUAUACUAGAGGGCGGGAGAGGUCUGAGGUACUACAGGGGGUAGGGGGUGAAAUCUUAUAAUCCUUGUAGGACCACCAGUGGCGAAAGCGUCAGACUGGAACGCGCCUGACGGUGAGGGACGAAAGCCAGGGGAGCGAACCGGAUUAGAUACCCGGGUAGUCCUGGCCGUAAACGAUGCAUACUAGUGAUGGUACGGCCAUGAGCCGUAUCAGUGCCGUAAGGGAAGCCGUUAAGUGUGCCGCCUGGGAAGUACGGUCGCAAGGCUAAAACUUAAAGGAAUUGGCGGGGGAGCACAAGGGC